Molecule: small RNA, 28 nt
Filed under: Bombyx mori (domestic silkworm)
Lineage: Eukaryota; Metazoa; Arthropoda; Insecta; Lepidoptera; Bombycidae
Description: ovarian small RNA-35099
Source: RNAcentral
UGGUAGACUGACACCGCGUUGCAAAGUC